UGCAAGUCGAGCGCGAAAACACUUCGGUGUGAGUAGAGCGGCGGACGGGUGAGUAAUGCUUGGGAAUCUGCCCAAUAGUGGGGGAUAACGUGUGGAAACGCACGCUAAUACCGCAUACGUCCUACGGGAGAAAGCAGGGGAUCUUCGGACCUUGCGCUAUUGGAUGAGCCCAAGUCAGAUUAGCUAGUUGGUGGGGUAAUGGCUCACCAAGGCGACGAUCUGUAGCUGGUCUGAGAGGAUGAUCAGCCACACUGGGACUGAGACACGGCCCAGACUCCUACGGGAGGCAGCAGUGGGGAAUAUUGCACAAUGGGCGAAAGCCUGAUGCAGCCAUGCCGCGUGUGUGAAGAAGGCUCUAGGGUUGUAAAGCACUUUCAGUGGGGAGGAAAAGUUCAAAACUAAUAUUUUUGAACCUUGACGUUACCUGCAGAAGAAGCACCGGCAAACUCCGUGCCAGCAGCCGCGGUAAUACGGAGGGUGCGAGCGUUAAUCGGAAUUACUGGGCGUAAAGCGCGCGUAGGUGGUUUGAUAAGCUAGCUGUGAAAGCCCUGGGCUCAACCUGGGAACUGCAGUUAGAACUGUCUGGCUAGAGUAUAGAAUAGAGGGGGGCGGAAUUUCCUGUGUAGCGGUGAAAUGCGUAGAUAUAGGAAGGAACAUCAGUGGCGAAGGCGGCCACCUGGACUAAUACUGACACUGAGGUGCGAAAGCGUGGGGAGCAAGCAGGAUUAGAUACCCUGGUAGUCCACGCCGUAAACGAUGUCUACUAGCCGUUGGGAGACUUGAUCUCUUAGUGGCGCAGUUAACGCGAUAAGUAGAUC
Molecule: ribosomal RNA, 818 nt
Filed under: uncultured Gammaproteobacteria bacterium
Lineage: Bacteria; Pseudomonadati; Pseudomonadota; Gammaproteobacteria
Description: bacterial SSU rRNA
Rfam family: Bacterial small subunit ribosomal RNA
Source: RNAcentral